UCUAAUAUGGCAGAAUAGUGCAAUGGACUUAAACCCCAAUCAUAAAGCAGAAGCUUUUUUUAGAA
This 65-nucleotide transfer RNA is filed under the name Anthaxia chinensis. RNAcentral's name for it is "tRNA-Leu". Lineage: Eukaryota; Metazoa; Arthropoda; Insecta; Coleoptera; Buprestidae. The record is from RNAcentral.